GGGCCAUAGCUCAGUGGCAGAGCAUCUGCUGUGCCUUCAGAGAAGGUCCCUGGUUCAAAUCCUGGCAUCUCCA
Non-coding RNA from Podarcis lilfordi (Lilford's wall lizard), 73 nucleotides. The record is from the annotation of a GenBank genome assembly. NCBI's taxonomy places the organism in Eukaryota, Metazoa, Chordata, Lepidosauria, Squamata, Lacertidae.